AUGCGGCUUCUGAACCUGGAUGGGGACCAGCGAGCCUCAGCACAGGUGCGGCUUCUGAGCCUGGAUGGGGACCAGCGAGCCUCAGCACAGGUGCGGCUUCUGAGCCUGGAUGGGGACCAGCGAGCCUCAGCACAGGUGUGGCUUCUGAGCCUGGAUGGGGACCAGCCAGCCUCAGCACAGAUGUGGGCUUCCUUUUGCUCCUCUACUUUGAUUUACUCAACUGCCCUUUGCGUUGAGAAGAGUAUUCUGAUUGAUGAAAAUGGCAGUCAAAUUGGAGCUGAGACCAAGAAUUGUCACCUGAAUGAAAACACUAGGAAUGGAUUAUUGCAUCAAGCUCUCAGUGUCUUCUUACUCAACACCAAAAUGAGUUCCUGUGACAGCAGAGAUCAGAUGUUACAGUUACCUACCCAGGCAGUUUCACCAAUACUUAUUUGUAGUCAUCCAUUAAGUAAUCCAGGCAAGCUUGAGAAAAAUGAUGUCAAUGGCAUAAGCUGAGCAGCACAGAGGGACCUAAAAGCUGAAGUAGGAAUUCCCAUGGAAGAGGCUCCUCCAGAAGAAACCUAUUAUCUAACACGAACUCGCAACAAAGUUCAAUCUGAUGGUAUCUGGGGUGAACAUAAAACUGAUGAUAUUUUGUUUGUGAGGAAGAACAUAACUUUGAAUUCAGAUCCCAGUGAGAUAAAAAGUUAUUUUCUGUGUGUUAAAGGAAGAGUUAGAACUUCUGAAAAAAGUAAUCAGUGGUGAAAUUAAAGUAACUCCAUGGUUUCAAGCUAUUAUAGAGACUUUUCUCUUUAAAUGGUGGGAUAACGGUGUGGUCUGUGACAGUGCCGGUUACACGAGGGCACAAGGGCCCUGCUGUCGCAUUUCAGUACAGACCCUGGUAGACUCCAGGAUGUGCCACGCAGCAACACACAGGCAGCUUAGGGUGCACGUGUCCAUCCAUCGACAGCAAUGA
RNA transcript from Cebus imitator (Panamanian white-faced capuchin), 955 nucleotides. It is a transcript of the gene named isopentenyl-diphosphate Delta-isomerase 1-like, with no coding region annotated. The record is from RefSeq and is a predicted model, not a curated record. NCBI's taxonomy places the organism in Eukaryota, Metazoa, Chordata, Mammalia, Primates, Cebidae. The transcript is spliced from 3 exons.